AUUUGUCUGGUUAAUUCCGAUAACGAACGAGACCUUAACCUGCUAACUAGUUCUCAAUACACUGUAUUGUGAUACUUCUUAGAGGGACUAUGUAAAUCAAUUACAUGGAAGUUUGAGGCAAUAACAGGUCAGUGAUGCCCUUAUAUGUCCUGGGCUGCACGCGUGCUACACUGAUGCAUACAACAAGUGCCUAGCCAGAUAUGGUAUGGCAAUCUCGAAUAUGCAUCGUGAUGGGGAUAGAUCUUUGCAAUUAUAGAUCUUGAACGAGGAAUCCCUAGUAAGUGCAAGUCAUCAUCUUGCAUUGACUAUGUCCCUGCCCUUUGUACACACCGCCCGUCGCUCCUACCGAUACCGGGUGAUCCGGUGAACCUUUUGGACUCCGUAUGGGGAAAGAUAAGUAAGCCAUAUCACCUAGAGGAAGGAGAAGUCGUAACAAGGUUUCCGUAGGUGAACCUGCRGAAGGAUCA
This 467-nucleotide ribosomal RNA is filed under the name uncultured ciliate. RNAcentral describes it as "SSU rRNA". It matches the Rfam family "Eukaryotic small subunit ribosomal RNA". The record is from RNAcentral. Lineage: Eukaryota; Ciliophora.